Molecule: long non-coding RNA, 478 nt
Filed under: Triticum aestivum (bread wheat)
Lineage: Eukaryota; Viridiplantae; Streptophyta; Magnoliopsida; Poales; Poaceae
Description: long non-coding RNA (TAES_LNC005566)
Source: RNAcentral
CAGCAAACUCUAAAAAUUUGCAAACCAACAUUUAAGAUAAAACCAGUAGCAAGCAAUAUCACCCAGAUAACAACAAGCAAUGGAAGAAUCUCCAAUAUGUAAAGAGAUGAAAAACACCAUAACAUUAUAAGGUGAACGACCAAACAUAUGACAGCAUAGCACAGAGCAUACGAUUACUAACCCAUUCGUUGUUCUGGUAACACAGGCAAAUAGCAAAUAGUUCAACAGAUAUGCGUCGACAUAAAGGUUCUAAGCACGAGCUUCAAGGAGUCUCCAUACAAAGGUAGCAAAAUCUGAUGGCUCAGACAAAUACUAUCAAGGUGUGCAUAGGGCAGUUUAACGGUAGCGGCGGAGGGAGACGGUCUGGUUGCGCUUCCAGGUGGCUCUCCUUGAGGGCCUGUUCUUGUGGUGGCGGUGGCCCUUGCCACGCAGACCACGGAACUUCUUUCCGGCCGACGUUAGGCCACGAAGCUCACGG